UACGGAGGAUGCGAGCGUUAUCCGGAUUUAUUGGGUUUAAAGGGUGCGUAGGCGGCCGAGUAAGUCAGCGGUGAAAUUUUGCAGCUUAACUGUAACAGUGCCGUUGAUACUGCAUGGCUAGGAUUUGGUUGCUGUGGGUGGAAUGUGUGGUGUAGCGGUGAAAUGCUUAGAUACCACACAGAAUAUCAAUUGCGAAGGCAGCUCACAAAGCCAAGAUUGACGCUGAGGCACGAAAGUGUGGGGAUCAAACA
This 251-nucleotide ribosomal RNA is filed under the name uncultured prokaryote. Its description in RNAcentral is "partial 16S ribosomal RNA". It matches the Rfam family "Bacterial small subunit ribosomal RNA", at positions 524 to 774 of the family's 1533-position model. The record is from RNAcentral.